GAUGAACGCUGGCGGCGUGCCUAAUACAUGCAAGUCGAGCGAACAGACGAGGAGCUUGCUCCUCUGACGUUAGCGGCGGACGUGUGAGUAACACGUGGAUAACCUACCUAUAAGACUGGGAUAACUUCGGGAAACCGGAGCUAAUACCGGAUAAUAUAUUGAACCGCAUGGUUCAAUAGUGAAAGACGGUUUUGCUGUCACUUAUAGAUGGAUCCGCGCCGCAUUAUCUAGUUGGUAAGGUAACGGCUUACCAAGGCGACGAUGCGUAGCGACCUGAGAGGGUGAUCGGCCACACUGGAACUGAGACACGGUCAAGACUCCUACGGGAGGCAGCAGUAGGGAAUCUUCCGCAAUGGGCGAAAGCCUGACGGAGCAACGCCGCGUGAGUGAUGAAGGUCUUCGGAUCGUAAAACUCUGUUAUUAGGGAAGAACAAAUGUGUAAGUAACUAUGCACGUCUUGACGGUACCUAAUCAGAAAGCCACGGCUAACUACGUG
RNAcentral lists this ribosomal RNA (496 nucleotides) under uncultured bacterium. RNAcentral's name for it is "partial 16S ribosomal RNA". It matches the Rfam family "Bacterial small subunit ribosomal RNA", at positions 28 to 507 of the family's 1533-position model. The record is from RNAcentral.